GCGGCAAGAGCUCAAAUUUGAAAUCUGGCUCCUUCGGGGCCCGAGUUGUAAUUUGUAGAGGAUGCUUCGGGCGUGGCCGCGGUCUAAGUCCCCUGGAACGGGGCGUCGCAGAGGGUGAGAAUCCCGUCUUCGGCCGGCCGGCCCCGCCCGUGUGAAGCUCCUUCGACGAGUCGAGUUGUUUGGGAAUGCAGCUCUAAAUGGGUGGUAAAUUUCAUCUAAAGCUAAAUACUGGUCGGAGACCGAUAGCGCACAAGUAGAGUGAUCGAAAGAUGAAAAGCACUUUGAAAAGAGAGUUAAACAGCAUGUGAAAUUGUUGAAAGGGAAGCGCUUGCGACCAGAGUCGGCCGCGGGGGCUCAGCGGGCACUCGUUGCCCGUGCACUCCCCCGUGGUCGGGCCAGCGUCGGUUUCGACGGCCGGUCAAAGGCCCCCGGAAUGUGUCGCCUCUCGGGGCGUCUUAUAGCCGGGGGUGCAAUGCGGCCAGUCGGGACCGAGGAACGCGCUCCGGCACGGACGCUGGCUUAAUGGUCGUAAGCGACCCGUCUUGAAACACGGACCAAGGAGUCUAACAUCCACGCGAGUGUUCGGGUGUCAAACCCGUCCGCGCAGUGAAAGCGAACGGAGGUGGGAACCCUCAAGGGUGCACCAUCGACCGAUCCUGAAGUCUUCGGAUGGAUUUGAGUAAGAGCGUGGCUGUUGGACCCGAAAGAUGG
RNAcentral lists this ribosomal RNA (711 nucleotides) under Paracoccidioides brasiliensis. Its description in RNAcentral is "eukaryotic LSU rRNA". It matches the Rfam family "Eukaryotic large subunit ribosomal RNA", at positions 98 to 826 of the family's 3401-position model. The record is from RNAcentral. Lineage: Eukaryota; Fungi; Ascomycota; Eurotiomycetes; Onygenales; Ajellomycetaceae.